RNAcentral lists this ribosomal RNA (477 nucleotides) under uncultured bacterium. Its description in RNAcentral is "partial 16S ribosomal RNA". It matches the Rfam family "Bacterial small subunit ribosomal RNA", at positions 28 to 507 of the family's 1533-position model. The record is from RNAcentral.
GAUAAACGCUGGCGGCGUGCAUAACACAUGCAAGUCGAACGAUGAAACUUAGAUGAUUUCUUCGGAAUGAACUUAAGUGGAUUAGUGGCGAACGGGUGAGUAACACGUGAGUAACCUGCCUUACACAAGGGGAUAGCCUCUGGAAACGGAGAAUAAUACCCUAUAAAGUCUAAUCAGCUCCUGCUGGAAAGACCAAAGAUUUAUCGGUGUAAGAUGGACUUGCGUCUGAUUAGCUAGUUGGUGAGAUAAAAGCUCACCAAGGCGACGAUCAGUAGCCGGCUUGAGAGAGUGUACGGCCACAUUGGGACUGAGACACGGCCCAAACUCCUACGGGAGGCAGCAGUGGGGAAUUUUGCACAAUGGGGGAAACCCUGAUGCAGCGACGCCGCGUGAUUUAGAAGGCCUUCGGGUUGUAAAAAUCUUUUUUACGGGAUGAAAAUGACAGUACCGUAAGAAUAAGGUCCGGCUAAAUACGUG